GGGGGAUAUCCUGGUGGUAUCACCAUACGCUGAUAUUGAAAGAGACCCGCAGUAGUUUAUCUUAACAAGAGCUGAGCUUAUAUUCUGCGCAAUCGCGUGUGGAUCGCAAUUCUUCGGCACCUGACAGUUCUCGAUGUCCCACCACACCGAAACCUUGGCCUUCACAUACUGCUCCUCCGCCGCAUCCGUCUGCUGCGACUGCACUCCGCCUCCGCCCAUAUUCUUUGGUUAGCUUAAACUAAAACCGAGCAAUUUUGUGUGAUUGGAUUGAUCUAUUUACAGUGUAGUAGGAGUAUUGAUUGGGCUAGACUUUUACUUGACGAAGAAAGGCGCACGAUAGCAUUUGAUAACGCGGUUUUCAACGGUGCGUACGAUUGGACAGACUUAGGAAUGAGUGUUGGGGUGGUUUGGAUUUGGUGGUACGUGUUUGGCUGAGCUUAAAUCCACUAAGCCCGCUGUUUGACACUCAUUAUUUCAGCUCUUUUU
RNAcentral lists this long non-coding RNA (486 nucleotides) under Olea europaea subsp. europaea. The record is from RNAcentral. Lineage: Eukaryota; Viridiplantae; Streptophyta; Magnoliopsida; Lamiales; Oleaceae.